ACAACACUCUUCCCUCUCGUUGCUAUGCAUCACCAUGAUCUUGCGUGUGCGUAGGAAUUUUUUUGAAAUUACUACGUUCCCCAACAACCCCGAUACUUUACUAAUGACCCAUGUUAACGGAAUACUUUUGUUGCAAACAUUUUUGUUAGUUGUCUUUUCAUUUUAUUUAUUUGUAAUCAGGGUUGGAUAGUGACUUUGAGUGUGCUUCUUCACUAAAAGAGGUGUUCCACAAAUUUUCACUUGUUUCAGAAUGGAAUAAUCUCAUGGAUUGUAUGAAAAACUAAAUUUAGUUAUUUCAAUAUGCAUAAUGUUUGGUUUCGGUAAUUCUGAUGGCCAGGCACUAUACUGCGCAUAAGUAAAAUUUCCAGUUUUUUUUGUGUGGUCAGUACCAGAACUUAUAAAGAAUGUUAGCUUCCGAUUGGACCCUUGCUGAUUCAUUUCGACCACAGUACUAGAACCCAGGUUGUUACAACACCACUUUGUAGUUUUGUUCCUCAGUAGAAAGUCGCUUAGCUGACGUUAUAGCAUGAGGUCUGUUGAACUUUCCCUGUCAUGCCUUUGGUUCCUACACGAUGUUGCAUUUGCCUGGCAAUGUCGUGUCUCUCUAGACACAGGUGAAUGCACUGGACUUUUUGAGGUCGAGGCCACCAACAGCAUAUGCCAAGGGCGUCCAUUGACAACCUGCCCAAUGCUGGAUUCACCGAGGAGGUACAACCGGACACGUUGUCGGCUGCCUGCUCGUCUGGAAACUACACAAUAUCUCUGAACCCACUAUCCUCUAAUGCAUGAAUCUCUAUGCUCAAUUGGGCUACAACUAAUUUAUCAUCGUUUCAUCUUAUUGCAAACAUCAUGUUUUUUCAUUGAAAGAAAGAAUAUUAAGAAAUAUUUUCUCAUUCUAUUGUAGCAAUAGCGAAUGUACGAAUAGUGAUACUGUGUUCGACCGUUUGUUCUUGUGGCUUCCUGGCCAUGGGCGCUUUACUGCUUUGUUCCAGAAAAAACCUGAAAAACUAUAAUGUUACUUGCAGUGGUGAUGAUAGCGGGUCUUCCGAAUCGCUUCCUUAGCCUAACAACGCAACCUACAAACCAACUGUUAUCAACAUCAGUAUGAUGCUGCUAUGUAGGACCUUCGCAUCGUUGCAUGAAAGCCAAGAAAAAAAGAAAAAGGAGCAUACAUCACAUGUAUUUCUCGGUCAGUUUUACCCAGAAAUAUCUCCGCCGUUGUAUGACUUGCCAAUAAAAUCUAGAGAUGGAAAUCCCUGCAUCAAAGCCCAUCUAAUCAAAGGAGUCUAUAACAGGGCAACAAUUACCAGAGACUGGGCAGGCUUCUCCCCCACAGCUAAUAUGAAGGAACGAGAAAUAUAUGCCUUCGCCUUCAAGCGCAACUACAAGCGCUUGCGUCUCACCGUGCAUGCCCUCUGAGCAUCGUGUUCAGUCUACUAAACUACGUAAUUAGCCUAUGAAGUUCUUUGUGUAUAGCUUCACCCUAAGAACAUGUUUGCUUUUAGCACUGGAC
Triticum urartu is the source of this 1513-nucleotide non-coding RNA. The record is from RefSeq and is a predicted model, not a curated record. NCBI's taxonomy places the organism in Eukaryota, Viridiplantae, Streptophyta, Magnoliopsida, Poales, Poaceae.